This 408-nucleotide ribosomal RNA is filed under the name uncultured bacterium. RNAcentral's name for it is "partial 16S ribosomal RNA". It matches the Rfam family "Bacterial small subunit ribosomal RNA", at positions 28 to 526 of the family's 1533-position model. The record is from RNAcentral.
GACGAACGCUGGCGGCGUGCUUAACACAUGCAAGUCGAACGAAGUGGCGAACGGGUGGGUAGUACGUGGCUAACCUGCCCUCCUUUUCGGGAUAAGCCUUGGCAACGGGGUCUAAUACCGUAUAUAGGGGGAUGGGCUCGCGGCCUAUCAGCUGGUUGGUGGGGUGAUGGCCUACCAAGGCGGUGACGGGUAGCCGGCGUGAGAGGGUGACCGGCCACAUUGGGACUGAGAUACGGCCCAGACGCGUACGGGGGGGAGCAGUUGGGGCAAUGGCACAAUGGGCGAGAGACUGAUGCAGCGACGCCGCGUGGGGUAUGAAGGCUUUCGGGUUGUAAAGUUCUUUCGCUAUCGAAAGGGUAGGUGGAGAAGAAGCGCCGGCUAACUACGUGCCAGCAGCCGCGGUAAUAC